This 7193-nucleotide long non-coding RNA is filed under the name Triticum aestivum (bread wheat). Its description in RNAcentral is "long non-coding RNA (TAES_LNC023549)". The record is from RNAcentral. Lineage: Eukaryota; Viridiplantae; Streptophyta; Magnoliopsida; Poales; Poaceae.
CGGCGGCGGUGGCGGCGGCGGUGGAUACCACAGGCACCACUGAGUCAGGUCUACCCCCGUCCUGCCCAGCGAUGAAAUCUCAUCAUCAGCGGGUUGGUGAUCAGUGAGUGGUCGACGGUGCUAAUUAUGAUUGGUUUGCAUGCGUGAGUAUCGUUAGGUCUUCUGCCAUUCCCGCGAAGCCCCGUUUAUUAUCUGCACUGUAGAGUUGGGAGUUCAGAAUAACAGAUGUGCGUGUGUGUGUCGCUGUGUCAGGCAAGUGUGAGGGUGUGUUGGCGUGUUGCUUUAUCAAGAUUUUGUAAUUUCAGUGUGUGUUUUGUAUAAGAAGUUAUUAUGAAUCAAGUAAUUUAAACAAGUCGAUUUGUCAACCGAACAACUGCAGCUGUUCGAGACGAUUGGCAUGAUAAGGAUAGUGUGAUUUUACUUCAACUCAAUUUUCAGAUCCGUGAACUGAAACUGAAGUGAAAUUCAGGCGUGUGCAAUGCAUUCAUACUGCUGGUCAUAGUUUUUUCUCUUACGAUGAACAAGUCGAUUUAUGAACAUUUUUCCUAGAUAAGUGAGGCUUUUAAAAAAUGUUCAUCAUGUGUUCAAAACAAUGAUAACCGUAAAUUUAAAGCAAAAUUGUUCGCCGUGUAUCUUAAAAAUGUUCAUCAUGAAUUUAAAAGGUUUGCCACUAAUUUUAAAAAGUUCAUCAUGUAUUUAUAUCACUAAUUUAGUUAUCUAAACGCUCUUAUAUUAGUUUACAGAGGGAGUAUUUAAAAGUUGUCAUCACGUAAUUAAAAAAAGGUUAAUUGUGCAUUAAUGAAAAUUUUCACCAUGUUUCAGAAAUGUUCAUCACGUAUUAAACUUAACCAUGUAUUUUUAAAAGUAAAAAAUGCUCAUUGUGUAUUUAAAACAUAUAAAGAUAUUUUUUUGUAAAUGAACUAAAAAUAUUCACCAUGAAUUGUUCAAAAAAUUCACCUUGUAUUAUUCAAAAACGCUCAGACACAAAGGACAAAUGUUCAUACACGGUGUGGGGAAAAGGAGAAAAUGCAUAGAGUAAAAGAACAACAAAACAGGAAAAAUGGACAAUGAAAAAAAAAGGAAAGAAUGAAGAAUCCAACUAAGAAAAAAAACAGUUCAGAAGCCAAACACAAAAACCACGCAAAAAGACGCAGCAGGAACCAGCGAACGAAACAACACCCCUAGCUGGCCUGCCCAAGUCACCUUGCUUGUGACUGUCUUCGCAUCCAUUUGACGUGUGUGCGUAUUUGCCGGAGACCUCCUAUUCCCUGACCUACGCGGGGAAAAGUGAGGAAACAUGCACCUAAACCUGUGGGUAGCCCGACCCGAGCCUGGCCCGAAAAAUCCAGGCCACGCUGGUGCCUUGUUUUGCAGCCCAAUGUACAUUUCGCCUAGGCUCGGGCUUUUGUAACAAUACUGAGAAAUAGUAUUUGGUUGGGCUUUCAAUAUUCAGGUCGGGCUUACAACUAACAACAUUGAUAAACACCAUUCGAGCUAGACUUUCGGGCUUGGGGCCUAUAUUUGGCUGAGGCUCGAGCUUGAGAAAGUGUGUACUUUCGGGAUUUGGACCAGCUGGGGCUUGAAGUUUGGGUUUCUGGCUUUUUGAAGCCCAGCCCGCCAUAUAAUCAGGUUUAAGUGCACCCCCGCCCCCCAUGCGUGCUUUUGGCCGGCCCAUAUGCGGGGUGAGCCGGGCUUAUUAUUAUUAUUUUUGCUUUUGUACUUUCAUUCUUUCUCAAUUGCAAGAAAUGUUCAUAAAAUAAUCAUAUGUUUGCACAUUUCUCAAAGUGCUUCAAAUUUUCAAAAUAUUAUAUGAUUUAAAUUCUUCAUAAAUUGAAAAUUUUCUUGAAUUUCAGAAAAUGUUCAUGAAUAGUAAAAUUGUUCCCCUAGUUCACAAAUUAUUCAUGUAUUUGAAAGUCCAUGGAUUCGAAAAUUGCUCGCGAAUUUGAGAAUGGAAUAAUAGAGUGAGUAUAGCAAUUGAUAUCUAUAGAUACUUUGCGAGGUUUAUAUCAUUAAAUUUAGAAAUGAUGUCAUUAUCACGACAUGUAUUGGAUGUCCUUUUUUCACUAGUUAAUAUCCAUAAAAUAUCAUGUUAGAUGACCGAUUUUUCAUAAUAUAACAUUUAUUGUGAAUCAAAAACCAGAAAGCAAGAAUCCUGCAAAGAAAAUGUAACACAUAAUCCUAGAGAGCGCCUUACACAUCUCAUUUCUAAGUGUGUUUACUUAUAAUUUGGUAAACAUAAGUCCAAGCAAAUCAAAGAAAAUCAAAGUACAGAGAAUACCUACAUACCAUGGCCCAUUGACCGGUCCACACAAUUGACUGCUUUAAUGUGACCCAUCAAAGACACUCAGAGCUUCAAAGGUGAACUGUUCUUUGAUCCAGGCUUUGGUUGGCACCGUAAAGAAUGCAAAAUAACAGCUCAAAUAUUUGUAUCAGCAAAAGAUCAAACAACUGAAAUAAGAAGCACAGAGCACAUGAGCAAGGAACAUAAAUGUUGUUAAUAAAACAAGAAAAAAACUAAGAUACGCUUGUGUCACUCGCAACUCACUAACUCAUCACAAAUUCUUCAUACGAGCAAAAUAACACUACUAGGGACAAAGCAGGGCUUCGAUUUUCUUGCACAACAGCUAACAGUUAGAGCUUUUAAUUCAUGUUUACCCAAUAAUUCUCCACAAUUCCUCACAUAGUUUCUAGUUCAACCAUUACUGGUAUGUAAAUAGACAAGAUUAGAUCGAUACUAAAAUUUGCAUUACGCUAUCGACGAAUGACGGCUCAAUUUUAUCUCCACAUAGAUGACACAAGAAUCUCAUUUGAGCAGUUGGUCACAAUGCAUACUAGCAUACUAAUGUUUCCAAUCGAACCGCAGCCAGAAACUUAGAACGACUUAUCCAACUUCUACCACCAAAUCAAAUUCAUAUUAUGAUGUUGCCUCCACGUUCCACGAUCCCGGUAGGUACAUCCAUGCACUUUCCACAUGCGAGAUGCGAUGAAGAUGUGAGAUGUGGCCAAAGAUUUGGGAUGUUGUAAACAUAUGUACGAGAUAUUUUUUUUCUCUAUGUAUACCUAAUAGUUUACUAGAAGCCGCUAUCAGGAUAUUUCUGACUUUUAAAGACACACACACACAGAGAGAUAUACGUAUAUACUAUGGUCAUGUGAGUGUCACAAAUUAAUCCAUGAAACAUGCAAUUUUAUGUAGUCUAUUUUCUUAUGGUUAGAGGGGUUAAGUUUAAGUAUUAUUUUAUGGUGCAAUCUAUUGAAUAGAAAGAAACUAAUCAAAUUUAGCGUAGGGCGUGCACAUAUUUUAAUGACACACAUUACAACCUAGCAGAAAAUACUAUUAUUUAUAUUGAGCAUAAUUAUCGUAAGUAAAUAUAAAAAAGAAGUAACCGCUUGCAGUUAAUAGUGAGUUUUAAACAUGUAUAAAAGUUUAAUAUAAAUAUUCAAUUUAAUUAGACUCGAUUUCUUGUCACCGCCCUAGAUUCAUGUUUGUAAUUAGUGGCAUUGCAUCCAUGCAUCAUGUCUAAUUUUAUCAGAAAUUUGAAUUGAGGGAAUUUUCAAAACCUCAGAAACAUUUUAGAAAUUAUCAACACUAAAAUCUUCUCAAAUAAGUCCAAGAAAAUGUUCCUGUUAUUUUAUGAAAAUAUUGGAAAGAGGUAAAAUUAAAACCAGUAUUUUUGGAUUGUCAGAAAUAUUUAUUUUGGGAAUUUGAGUUAAUCUAAUAAUUAUUUGCAUUAGACUUAUAUUUAUUAUAUAUUAAAUAUUGGUCCAAAAAAUUUGAAAGUUUGUAUGUGGCUCUGGACUAGUUCCCUAAGUCCACAUAUUGAAUUUCAGAAGUUUAUAAAGUGAUUUGGUAGUUAAACCAAAUCAAACAAACAGAACAAAAUGGAAAACAAAAACAGAAAGGGAAGAACAGAGAGAGAGAGAGAGAGUUUACCUGGCAGCCCACUUACCCGGCCCAACUCCUCUAGCCGGCCCAGCCUACCUGGCUCUGCCAGUCGUCCUCUACCUCGUGCCAGAGGGCACGAGGGCGUGUGGCCGCCGCCCACGCGUACGCACCGCGCCACCUCUUGCUUGCCGCUUCGCUCUGGCCCUCUCCGGACGUCGACACGUAGCCCCCUGGUCCUCUCCCUCGCUUCCCUCGUCCUUCCCCACCUCUGGAUCCCUCUCUCUCUCUCACCACCGAGCGGGGCUCGUCGCCACCGACGCCGUUCACCGUAGCCACCGUCUCCUCCUGAACCUCUCUCCGCGCCCAGAAGCUCCGCCACUUCGUCCUCGACCCCCUCGCUGAGCCACGCAACGCCGGACGCCCUGAAGCCUCGCCAACACCGUCGUUCCCCUCGUCGGUCGCCGCGGAUCCUCGCCGUUGAUUCAGGAGCUACAGGACCUCCCCGAGCACUCUGAGCUUCUCUACAAGUCCUCCGUGAGCCCCUCUUUCCCCUACCCUAACCUCGUUGCUUCGCUCGACCUCUAGCUAGCGCUGCCGCCAUGGCCGAGCUCCGCCGCCGCCUGCCUUGUCAUGCGCCACCAUUGCAGCCCGCGCCCGUCGUUGGAGAGCAUGGCAACGAGCUCGUCGUGCCUCCAGGAGGCCGGCUAUCCCUUUUGCUAGCUCGCCCGUGCCCCGUAGCACCGCUGCCCGCUUGCGCCCGAACUCCGGCCGCCGCCCAAGUGGUCACCGCCGUCGACCCCGGCCUCCUGCGCCCAGCUGCAUGCACCCCCUGGAUGCGGGCGAGCGAGGGCUUCCUCAUGGUGCCCUGCUACCUCUUGAGCACUGCGUUGGUUUUCCCUAGAAGAGGAAAGGGUGAUGCAGCAAAGUGGCGUAAGUAUUUCCCUCAGUUUUUGAGAACCAAGGUAUCAAUCCAAUAGGAGGCUACACACGAGUCCCUCGCACCUACACAAACGAAUAAAUCCUCGCAACCAACAUGAUAAGGGGUUGUCAAUCCCUACACGGUCACUUACGAGAGUGAGAUCUGAUAGAUAUGAUAAGAUAAUAUUUUUGGUAUUUUUGUGAUAAAGAUGCAAAGUAAAGAAAGUAAAAUAAAAACGGCGCUAGAAAUAGCUAAGUGUUGGAAGAUUAAUAUGAUGGAAAAUAGACCCGGGGGCCAUAGGUUUCACUAGUGGCUUCUCUCGAGAGCAUAAGUAUUUACGGUGGGUGAACAAAUUACUGUUGAGCAAUUGACAGAAUUGAGCAUAGUUAUGAGAAUAUCUAGGCAUGAUCAUGUAUAUAGGCAUGACGUCCGAAACAAGUAGACCGACUCCUGCCUGCAUCUACUACUAUUACUCCACACAUCGACCGCUAUCCAGCAUGCGUCUAGAGUAUUAAGUUCAUAAGAACAGAGUAACGCUUUAAGCAAGAUGACAUGAUGUAGAGGGAUAAACUCAUGCAAUAUGAUAUAAACCCCAUCUUGUUAUCCUCGAUGGCAACAAUACAUUACGUGCCUUGCUGCCCCCACUGUCACUGGAAAAGGACACCGCAAGAUUGAACCCAAAGCUAAGCACUUCUCCCAUUGCAAGAAAGAUCAAUCUAGUAGGCCAACCCAAACUGAUAAUUCGAAGAGACAUGCAAAGAUAACCAAUCAUACAUAAAAGAAUUCAGAAGAUUCAAAUAUUGUUCAUAGAUAAGCUUGAUCAUAAACCCACAAUUCAUCGGUCUCCACAAACACAUCACAAAAGAAGAUUACAUCGAAUAGAUCUCCACAAGAGAGGGGGAGAACAUUGUAUUGAGAUCGAAAAAGAGAGAAGAAGCCAUCUAGCUAAUAACUAUGGACCCGAAGGUCUGAGGUAAACUACUCACACUUCAUCGGAGAGCCUAUGGUGUUGAUGUAGAAGCCCUCCGUGAUCGAUGCCCCCUCCGGCGGAGCUCCGAAACAGGCCCCAAGAUGGGAUCUCACGAAUACAGAAGGUUGCGGCGGUGAAAUUAGGUUUUUAGCUACGUAUCUGAUCGUUUGGGGGUACGUAGCUAUAUAUAGGAGGAAGGAGUACGUCGGUGGAGCAACGUGGGGCCCACGAGGGUGGAGGGCGCGCCCAGGGGGUAGGAGCGCCCCCUACCUCGUGGCUUCCUGGUAGCUUUCUUGACGUAGGGUCCAAGUCAUCUGGAUCAUGUUUGUUCCGAAAAUCAUGUUUCCGAAGGUUCAUUCCGUUUGGACGCCGUUUGAUAUCCUGCGAAACUCUGAAAUAGGCAAAAAACAGCAAUUCUGGGCUGGGCCUCCGGUUAAUAGGUUAGUCCCAAAAAAUAAUAUAAAAGUGCAUAAUAAAGCCCAAUAAUGUCCAAAACAGAAGAUAAUAUAGCAUGGAGCAAUCAAAAAUUAUAGAUACGUUGGAGACGUAUCAAGCAUCCCCAAGCUUAAUUCCUGCUCGUCCUCGAGUAGGUAAAUGAUAAAAACAGAAUUUUUGAUGUGGAAUGCUACUUGGCAUAAUUUCAGUGUAAUUUUUAUUAAUUGUGGUAUGAAUAUUUAGAUCCGAAAGAUUCAAGAUAAAAGUUCAAUAUUGACAUAAAAAUAAUAAUACUUCAAGCAUACUAACUAAGCAAUUAUGUCCGCAGCAUCGCCGGAGUGCGCGUCCAUGACCCUGUGCGGGCCGAUCAAGAAGCACAUCAUUGAGCACUUCCACCACAAGAAGCCCGUGCCGCCUAAGCCGGAGCUCAAGCCCCAGCCCCACCCGGACUACGGCCCCGUGCCCAAGCCGGAGCCGAAGCCGCAGCCCCACCCAGACUACCACCCCGUCCCUCCCACGCCCACCUACGGUAGCGGUGGCGGCGGUGGUGGAUACCACGGGCACCACUGAGUCAGUUCUACCCCCGUCCUGCCCAGCGAUGAAAUCUCAUCAUCAGCGGGUUGGUGAUCAGUGAGUGGUGGACGGUGCUAAUUAUGAUUGGUUUGCAUGCGUGGGUAUCGUUAGGUCUUCUGCCAUUCCCGCGAAGCCCCGUUUAUUAUCUGCACUGCAGAGUUGGGAGUUCAGAAUAACAGAUGUGCGUGUGUGUGUCGCUGUGUCAGGCGAGUGUGAGGGUGUGUUGGUGUGUUGCUUUAUCAAGAUUUUGUAAUUUCAGUGUGUGUUUUGUAUAAGAAGUUAUUAUGAAUCAAGUAAUUUAACCAAGUCGAUUUGUCAGCCGAACAACUGCAGCUGUUCGAGACGAUUGGCAUGAUAAAGAUAGUGUGAUUUUACUUCAACUCAAUUUUCAGAUCCGUGAACUGAAACUGAAG